AGCAGCCGCGGUAAUUCCAGCUCCAAUAGCGUAUAUUAAAGUUGCUGCAGUUAAAAAGCUCGUAGUUGAAUUUCGGGGUUUAUCCGUUGGUCGGGCUUUUUGGUCUGUACUGGCGUGAUGGAUUCCUACCUUCUGAAUAACCGGCAUGCCAUUAAUUUGGUGCGCCGGGGAAGCAGGACUGUUACCUUGAAAAAAUUAGAGUGCUUAAAGCAGGCUUAUGCCUGAAUACAUUAGCAUGGAAUAAUGAAAUAGGACGGCAUGGUUCUAUUUUGUUGGUUUCUAGGAUCACCGUAAUGAUUAAUGGGGAUAGUUGGGGGCAUUAGUAUUCAAUUGUCAGAGGUGAAAUUCUUGGAUUUAUUGAAGACUAACUUCUGCGAAAGCAUUUGCCAAGGAUGUUUUCAUUAAUCAAGAACGAAAGUUAGGGGAUCGAAGACGAUCAGAUACCGUCGUAGUCUUAACCAUAAACUAUGCCGACUAGGGAUCGGACGAUGUUAAUUUUUAUAAUGACUCGUUCGGCGCC
This 520-nucleotide ribosomal RNA is filed under the name uncultured Acaulospora. Its description in RNAcentral is "SSU rRNA". It matches the Rfam family "Eukaryotic small subunit ribosomal RNA", at positions 569 to 1087 of the family's 1831-position model. Lineage: Eukaryota; Fungi; Glomeromycota; Glomeromycetes; Diversisporales; Acaulosporaceae. The record is from RNAcentral.